CCCGAAUUCUUUAUGAGCUGAAUAUUAAUUGUUAAGAACCCAUAGAUAAAUGUUUCAGUAUUUUCUAAAAAUUAGUAUUCAGAGGCUACAUACCUAUCGCAUAAGAAAAUAGCUGGUUUCUAUUAAACACUAUAAAUUAGAAUAUCUAAAAUUAGAUUAUAAAUUAAUAAAAGAUAAGUUUUAUUAAUUACUCAAUUAAAAUAAAAUAGAAAUUAACUUUAGUGGGCUUAAUAACAGCCAUCUUUCAGUACUUUACCGUAAUAUUUUAUUUAAUAUAAAUAACUAAAAAAUGAUAAAUAUAGAUAGAUAAUAUAAUAAAUUAAAUUUAUUUUUAAAUUUGUAAAUAUAAGUAUUACAUUAAAUAUAUUAAAGGAACUCGGCAAAUUUUAUUUCGACUGUUUAACAAAAACAUUUCUUUUAGUAAAUAUUAAAAGUAUACCCUGCCCAAUGAAUUUUGAAUGGCCGCGGUAUCCUAACCGUGCAAAGGUAGCAUAAUAAUUUGUCUAUUAAUUGUAGACUAGAAUGAAGGGGUUAACGAAAUAAAGACUGUCUCUAAUAUAUAAAUAAAAAUUAUCUUUUAAGUGAAGAGACUUAAAUAAAAUUAAAAGACAAGAAGACCCUAUUGAGCUUUACUUAAAUUAUAAUUAAAUUAUAAUAUAGUUUGGUUGGGGCGACCUAGGAAUAUUAAACAUCCUAAGAAUUUAACGAUUUAUAUAUCUUUAUUUGAUCCAUUUAAUGAUCAUUAAAUUAAGUUACCAUAGGGAUAACAGGCUAAUAUUUUUUUAGAGUUCUUAUUAACAAAAAUGUUUGGCACCUCGAUGUUGGCUUAGGAAAACGUUAUGGUGCAGAAGCCAUAAAUGAAGGUUUGUUCAACCUAUAAAAUCCUACAUGAGCUGAGUUCAGACCGGCGUAAGCCAGGUUAGAUUCUAUCUUUAAUUAAAAAAUUUAUUUUCAGUACGAAAGGACCUAAAUAA
RNAcentral lists this ribosomal RNA (974 nucleotides) under Alboglossiphonia lata. RNAcentral's name for it is "16S ribosomal RNA". The stretch from base 297 to 974 matches the Rfam family "Archaeal large subunit ribosomal RNA", at positions 1423 to 2770 of the family's 2987-position model. Lineage: Eukaryota; Metazoa; Annelida; Clitellata; Rhynchobdellida; Glossiphoniidae. The record is from RNAcentral.